UCGAGUUUUUGAACGCAAGUUGCGCCCGAGGCCUGUCGGCCAAGGGCACGUCUGCCUGGGCGUCAUGCGUUGCAUUCGCUCCGUGCCAACACCAUCACACCUAUGAGUGUUUGGGGAAGGCUCGGAUGUGCAUAUUGGCUCAUCGUGCCCAUUGGCGCG
Molecule: ribosomal RNA, 159 nt
Filed under: Calypso bulbosa
Lineage: Eukaryota; Viridiplantae; Streptophyta; Magnoliopsida; Asparagales; Orchidaceae
Description: 5.8S ribosomal RNA
Source: RNAcentral